AGCGAACGCUGGCGGCGUACUUAACACAUGCAAGUCGAACGAGGAGCUUCGGUGUAGCAAUACAUCGGAGCUUCUAGUGCGUACGGGUGAGUAACACGUGGGCAACCUGCCCUCGAGCCCGGGAUACCCUCUCGAAAGGAGGCUAAUACCGGAUACGUUCUCGGAUCGCAAGACCUGGGGAGGAAAGGUGGCGAAAGCUGCCGCUCUUGGAGGGGCUCGCGGCCUAU
RNAcentral lists this ribosomal RNA (227 nucleotides) under uncultured bacterium. Its description in RNAcentral is "partial 16S ribosomal RNA". It matches the Rfam family "Bacterial small subunit ribosomal RNA", at positions 29 to 241 of the family's 1533-position model. The record is from RNAcentral.